Molecule: long non-coding RNA, 2681 nt
Filed under: Sus scrofa (pig)
Lineage: Eukaryota; Metazoa; Chordata; Mammalia; Artiodactyla; Suidae
Description: lncRNA (ENSSSCG00055004116.1)
Source: RNAcentral
GGCCAUUCUGAUUGGUGUGGGGUGGUGUCUCAUGGUAGUUUUGAUUUGCAUUUAUCUAAUAAUCAGGGAUGUGGAGCAUUUUUUCAUGUGAUCGUUGGCCAUCUGUAUGUCUUCCUUGGAGAAAUGUCUAUUCAGGUCUUUCGUCCAUUUUUCAGUUGGGUUGAUUGGCUUUUUUGUUGUUGAGUUGUAUAAGUUGUUUGUGUGUUUUAGAGAUUAAGCCCUUGUCAAUUGCAUCAUUUGAAACUAUUUUCUUCCAUUCUAUAAGUUGUCUUUUUUUUUUUUUUUUUUUUUUCCUUUGCUGUGCAAAACUUGUCAGUCUGAUUAGGUCCCAUUGGUUUAUUUUUGUUUUUAUUUAUGUUGCUUUGGGAGACUGAAUUGAGAAGACAUUUGUAAGGUUAAUAUGAGACAAUGUGUUGCCUAUGUUCUCUUCCAGGAGUUUGAUGGUGUCUUGUCUUAAAUAUUUAAGUCUUCUAGUCAUUUUGAGUUCAUUUUCCUGCAUGGUGUGAGGGUGUGUUCUAGUUUCAAUGAUUUGCAUGCAGCUGUCCAGGUUUCCCAGCAGUACUUGCUGAAAAGACUGUCUUUUUCCUAUUUUAUGUUCUUGCCUCCUUUGUCAAAGACUAAUUGACCAUAGGUGUCUGGGUUUAUUUCUAGGUUCUCUAUUCUAUUCCUUUGGUCUGUCUGUCUGUUUUGGUAGCAAUACCACACUGUAUUGAUGACUGUAGCUUUGUAAUAUUUCCUGAAGUCUGGGAGAGUUAUGCUUCCUGCUUGGUUUUUGUUCCUCAGAAUUGCUUUGGCAAUUCUGGGUCUUUAGUGGUUCCAUAUAAAUUUUUGGAUUGUUUGUUCUAGUUCUGUGGAAAAUGUCAUGGGUAAUUUGAUAGGGAUUGCAUUAAGUCUAUAGAUUGCUUUGGGUAGUGUGGCCAUUUUUACAAUAUUAGUUUUUCCAACCCAGGAGCAUGGAAAACUUUCCUUUUCUUUACAUCUUCCUCAAUUUUCUUGAUUAAUGUUUUAUCUUUCUCAGCAUGUAAGUCUUUUACCUCCUUGGUCAGGUGUUUUCCCAGGUAUUUGAAUUUUUGGGGUGCAAUUUUAAAGGGUAUUGUAUUUUUGUAUUCCUUUUCUAAUAUUUUGUUGUUAGUAUACAGAAAUGCGACUGAUUUCUGAAUGUUAAUCUUAUAUCCUGCUACUUUGCUGAAUUUGUUGAUUAGGUAAUUUAGAGGGACCAAAAUAUUACUAAGACUAUUUCUGGAUUUCAAGCAAAAUAAAUCUAGUUAAAAUAUGGGCAGGUGGGAGUUCCCGUCAUGGCUCAGUGGAAACAAAUAUGACUGGCAUCCAUGAGGAUGCAGGUUUAAUCUCUGGCCUUGCUCUGUGGGUUAAGGAUCUGGUGUUGCAGCAAGCUGUGGUAUGUCUCUGAGCAUGUCUUGGAUCCCACGUUAUUAUGGCUGUGGUUUAGGCCAGCAGCUCCAGGUCCGAUUGUACCCUUAGCCUGGGAACCUCAAUAUGCUGCUAGUGCAGCUCUAAAAAGACCCAAAAAAAGUAUAUAUGGGUAGGUGAAGAGAAAUUGUAGCCUUCCCAUGCCUUGUCAUGAAUGUGAUGUAACAGGAACACAGAUGAUCAUCAUGGAAGCAUAAGAUGCCUUGCCCCAUGGAAACAUUUACCCUAGGUGCUGAGUGGACUAAGAAGAUGGGUAAUGAAACAUGAGAAGUUUAGGUCAUUAAGCUUUGGCUGUUUCGUUAGGGUCUCCCUGUGAUAUAAAUUCCACCUUCAAAGGCCUUAUAGCAAACUUUCUGUGGUAUAUCUUUAAGCCUUUGUAUUGUGUACAGAGAGAUGAACACUUACUCUCCCACACUUUAAAAUAUGGUCAAUAAAGAUGUUGCAGUAUGAAUUUACCUAAAAUCCCUAUCCUUAAUAGCCACACAUAUGCAUCACUCUGUUGCAACCGAAGCAUACAGGAAUGCUAUUGCAUGGCCUUGAAUUUUACUUGCUCACUAGCUACAAGGAAGCUCUAUCUGAUCUAUGCAGUGUAAUAAGAUCAAGAAGGUCGUGCAAAGGGGUGAUAGCAGUGGCAUCCUGCAGAGGGCCAGUAAAAAAAAGACCCAGUGUGCAUUAGAAAUGUCACUGAAGGGAGUUCCUGUUGUGAUUGUGGCUCAGUGCUAAUGAACCUGACUGGUACCCAUGAGGCCUCACUCAGUGGGUUAAGGAUCCAGCGUUGCUAUGACCUGUGGAAUGGGUCACAGAUGUGGCUCAAAUCUGGUGCAUUUCUGAGGCUGUGGCAUAGACAGGUGGCUACAGCUCCAAUUUGACCCAUAGCCUGGGAACUUCCAUAUGCUGUGGGUGUGACCUCAAAAAGACAAAAAAAAGAAAAAAAGAAAAAAGAAAUGUCACCAAAACAUGGCUAGGAGCAAGGAAGACUCACUAGACAUUGGCAUCAGUAUUUGAUUUUCUGCCUCAAUUUUCUUAUUUUAUUUCAAUAAAGAGAUGGUUCAUAUAUUUUUAAAUGGAAAUUCUUGUAAAUAGAAUUAGUUCUAUAAAUAUAAGUUCUAUCCUCACUGGACCAGGCUUGCACCAAACACAGCUUAUAAAUAAAAACACAAUACCCAAUUGCACUUGCUUUCUUACCCAUAUUUUCUAUGGAUGCUGAUAUGUGGAUUCAAGAAUUGGUCUUUUUAUUAUGACUGGGAAAAAAA